Molecule: long non-coding RNA, 1484 nt
Organism: Nematostella vectensis (starlet sea anemone)
Lineage: Eukaryota; Metazoa; Cnidaria; Anthozoa; Actiniaria; Edwardsiidae
Exons: 2
Source: RefSeq, a predicted model, not a curated record
CCAAAGACAAGCAAGACGAGCAAGCCGCAAGACCAAGACGAGCAAGCCACAAGACCAAGACAAGCAAGCCGCAAGGCCAAGACAAGCAAACCGCAAGACCAAGACAAGCAAGCCGCAAGACCAAGACAAGCAAGCCGCAAGACCAAGACAAGCAAGCCGCAAGACCAAGACAAGCACGCCGCAAGACCAAGACAAGGAAGCUGCAAGAGCAUGUUAGGAGGAGCUAUAGCCUAUAGGGUGGCCCAUAAAUGCUAUAUGUUAUAAGGAAAAAGUAUUCUUGUUUCUCUAUAAAGUAAUGCAGUUUUGUUACUCAGUCAGUUUUGUUUUCUGAUGUUUAAACAUCCAUUCCAUAGGGUUCUAGCACAGGCCAAAUGACUAGUUUUUCCUUGGUGGUAAGUGUCAGUCUGGAAUAAUGUGUAAAUGUUUUUAUUAUAAAUAACACUUUUACGUCAAUCAGUUUAAGAAUAAAUGUAAGGUUAUUUAUAGUUGUCAAAUAAACACAUAAUUAUCAGGCGUGUACCCAGGAUUGGCCGAGGGGGUGCACAGUAUAGGUAUCAUAUGGAAAUAGCAUGGUAUUUGAAGAUUCCUUAAUAAGAAAUGACCCACUUUUGGCCCCCAAGCAGGGUGCACGUGCACCCCGCACACCCUCCUGUGGACGCACCUGAUUAUGUCAAUUGCAACAAUGUUACUUAUGUGCACCAUGUUACUUAUGUGUUGUUCCUAGAAUCAUCCAACAUCAACGUCAGCAACCUCAAUCACAGUGCAUCAAAUGACUAGUUCUCCUUUGGUGGAUGGCGCUAGGGUGCGGAGAUCGGGGAGUACCGAGCGGGUUCAAUAUCCUAAGUGAACGUCCCAAAAGGACCAAAAACGGGACAAAAGAGACAGACAGGCCAAACGGGACAAAAAGAUCAACAGGGACACAACACCAAUAGGCCAAUCCGAUCUUCUGUCAUGAUUUCACCCGUCUCAAACCGAGACAAAUACAAAAUCUAAAACAAAACAAAAAAUGAUUAAAAAACAUGCCUACAUUAAGACAAAACUUUCGGACGAGGUUCACUCUUAUCAAGCCACCUCGUCGAAAGCAUGGUGAAGCUUGGUGAGGCGGGUGAGGCGUUAUUACGAAGAUUGCUCAGCAAGAAGAUGUCCCAGCUUGGAGUAAACCAUUUUACAAUCGUAGUUGAACUGCUUGACCGGGGUAAAAGUCGUUUUAAAGAAUAACUUUAUGUUAUCUCUAGUGAAUUAACAUACUGCAGGAUUUGACAGCAUAUAUUCAAUAGACAUGUAAAAAAAAAAAGAAAGAGCCUUUAGUUAGAAGAGUCCUUAGAAACCCAGGCGAUAUAAUCCAUAAUCAAAAGUAUUAUAGCUUGGAGGCCUAAAUAUGUAUACCCUAUAUUCAAUAGGUACUCUAGUUUAUGUAUAGGUUUAUUUCUGUAUUAACCUUAUAAAUUUUUACGAUGAGCGUUGUUAUAAUCAAAUAGUUUAAC